UACGGAGGGGGCUAGCGUUGUUCGGAAUCACUGGGCGUAAAGCGCACGUAGGCGGCUUUCUAAGUCAGGGGUGAAAUCCUGGAGCUCAACUCCAGAACUGCCUUUGAUACUGGAGAGCUUGAGUCCGGAAGAGGUGAGUGGAACUCCGAGUGUAGAGGUGAAAUUCGUAGAUAUUCGCAAGAACACCAGUGGCGAAGGCGGCUUACUGGUCCGGUUCUGACGCUGAGGCGCGAAAGCGUGGGGAGCAAACAGG
Molecule: ribosomal RNA, 253 nt
Filed under: uncultured bacterium
Lineage: Bacteria
Description: partial 16S ribosomal RNA
Rfam family: Bacterial small subunit ribosomal RNA
Source: RNAcentral